AUCCAACCCAAACGAAAACCUACAAAUAUUAUCAAAUGAAAACCUCCUAAACACAUCUUGCAAAUCCACCACCUCCAUCGUCUUCCCAACUCCCUUCAUCGUAGGUAGCAACCUACUCCGAAUCUCCGUCGUUAAAAUCUCGAACGCGUGAGACCGAAGUGACAAACUCCCAAGUUCCAAACUCGCCAUCUUGCGUUGAAACCGCCAAGAAUGACCAUCCACAUUGAAAAUUCCAUGACCAAGAAGGUCACCAAGGAUGGAAGAGAAGGGUUUUCCUUUGGGGUAGUUAUGGAAGUUGGAUUUAAGGAUGUGUUGGACGUUGUCGGGGUUGGCGGUUACGAUAUUGGAGAUAACGUGGAGGUGGAGCGUGGCAGUGGGGGAGUGGGAAAGAAGGUGAGUGUACCAAUCGG
This 410-nucleotide long non-coding RNA is filed under the name Cucumis sativus (cucumber). RNAcentral describes it as "long non-coding RNA (CSAT_LNC000141)". The record is from RNAcentral. Lineage: Eukaryota; Viridiplantae; Streptophyta; Magnoliopsida; Cucurbitales; Cucurbitaceae.